CCUACGGGUGGCAGCAGUGAGGAAUAUUGGUCAAUGGGCGCGAGCCUGAACCAGCCAAGUAGCGUGAAGGAUGACUGCCCUCCGGGUUGUAAACUUCUUUUAUAAAGGAAUAAAGUGAGGCUCGUGUGCCUUUUUGUCUGUACUUUAUGAAUAAGGAUCGGCUAACUCCGUGCCAGCAGCCGCGGUAAUACGGAGGAUCCGAGCGUUAUCCGGAUUUAUUGGGUUUAAAGGGAGCGUAGAUGGGUUGUUAAGUCAGUUGUGAAAGUUUGCGGCUCAACCGUAAAAUUGCAAUGGAUACUGGCAGUCUUGAGUGCAGAAGAGGUAGGCGGAAUUCGAGGUGUAGCGGUGAAAUGCUUAGAUAUCACGAAGAACUCCGAUGGCGAAGGCAGCUUACUAAACUGCCACUGACAUUGAUGCUCGAAAGUGUGGGUAGCAAACAGGAUUAGAUACCCGAGUAGUC
RNAcentral lists this ribosomal RNA (460 nucleotides) under uncultured bacterium. RNAcentral's name for it is "partial 16S ribosomal RNA". It matches the Rfam family "Bacterial small subunit ribosomal RNA", at positions 338 to 795 of the family's 1533-position model. The record is from RNAcentral.